This 256-nucleotide ribosomal RNA is filed under the name uncultured bacterium. RNAcentral describes it as "partial 16S ribosomal RNA". It matches the Rfam family "Bacterial small subunit ribosomal RNA", at positions 524 to 777 of the family's 1533-position model. The record is from RNAcentral.
UACAGAGGUCCCAAGCGUUGUUCGGAUUCACUGGGCGUAAAGGGUGCGUAGGUGGUGAGGUAAGUCGGAUGUGAAAUCUCCGAGCUCAACUCGGAAAUGGCAUUGGAAACUACCUUGCUCGAGGGUUGGAGGGGGGACUGGAAUGGCUUGGUGUAGCAGUGAAAUGCGUAGAUAUCAAGCGGAACACCAGUGGCGAAGGCGAGUCCCUGGACAACUCCUGACACUGAGGCACGAAAGCUAGGGGAGCAAAACAGGG